GUGACACCUACUCCUGGAGCCACACCUGGGGUAACAUCCAAGCUACUGCAACCAAGCAAUUAUUGGUCAGAACCCAGGUGCAUCAGGACUUAAAGGUAUCUGCAUCCAGGGCAGCUCCCAAAAUAACACCUCUCCAAUAACACAUCCUUAAAAAAGAAUAUCCAGUAAUCCAAAAUAAAAUUCUAAUAGGUUAUCCAAAAAAACUUCCAGUAGGGAUUUCCAGUUUGCUGUUCACACAUACUCUGCAAACUGUAAUUCCCACCAAGGGACAAACACUAGAGAUGAUGGAUCAAAGCUCUUAGGUAAUUUUAGUUAAAGUCAUGAAUGCCCUGUUACAAAAAACCAAUCAAUUGUGAUUCUAAUAACUGCCUAUAAACAGUCUGCCAACAUAUCUUGCCUGGAGUGUUAAAUGCUGUCACCCAGGAUUUCUAUAUCAUGCACUUCAACAACUCACUCCAGAAGGGAAAAGAAAAAAAGAGAGAGAUGAGUCCUGGUGUAGCUCCAGCCUGUGUUCUGUAGAUUCUCAGGGCCAGCCCCCAAUCUUGAGCAAAUCCCAGAUUCCAUAGGCCCCCCCAGACCCCCUAACUGAAGCCCAAAUCCUAUGACUUCCUAACACCCUCCCACUGAGACAUGCCAUGGUUCACCUCCAUGAGGAAGCAGCCGAGCUGGUUUAACUGCAGGUGGGUGGCCAGUGGUCUCUGACAAAGGGCAUUGACCUCACCUGCACAGAGGAGCAUGGACCAGGUACACCUGG
This 754-nucleotide long non-coding RNA is filed under the name Marmota monax (woodchuck). Lineage: Eukaryota; Metazoa; Chordata; Mammalia; Rodentia; Sciuridae. The record is from RNAcentral.